Long non-coding RNA from Magnolia sinica, 541 nucleotides. RefSeq lists it as uncharacterized. NCBI's taxonomy places the organism in Eukaryota, Viridiplantae, Streptophyta, Magnoliopsida, Magnoliales, Magnoliaceae. The record is from RefSeq and is a predicted model, not a curated record. The transcript has 2 exons.
UCUCCAAACUCAAUGUGCAUGCCUUACUUUUCAUUGCAUGGUUUCCAUUUUAAUCAUGCGCACAUUACAUAACAUGUUCAUCAAAUUCAAGAACAAGGUUUAUUAUCUGAUCAAGCUCAGUAACUUCAAGUGUCGAUAACAAAAUAUGAGCAGAGGAUGAGCAUUUGAAGUAAGAGUAUGCUACUCAAAUUUCAACUAGUGAGACUAAGAACAACAAAGCAUGGAAUUAGAAUUGACAAUCUUAAAACUAUUUAAACAUGAAUACCAAAGAUGUGUGUGUCUUAUGUAGACAGGUAUCAUGUUGAUGUGUGUGCCUACGUAGCUGAAGUACUAUUCUUUUGACCAGUCCAUGAGAUUCCCUGAAAUCUGUGGCUCCUAAAAAAGGAAAAAAGAAAAUAAUGAAAUCCAAAAGGAGGUUGAGAAAGGGUUACAAAUAGGCAGCCCUGUGCCUAACCAAUAUGAUAUUUAAAUAAUUGAAUCCGCAAAAAAAAAAAAAAAAAAGGUUCCUGAAACAUGUAAUUUAAUUUAAAUUACUUAUACA